CUACGGGGUGCAGCAGUGGGGAAUAUUGGACAAUGGGGGAAACCCUGAUCCAGCAAUGCCGCGUGUGUGAAGAAGGCCUGCGGGUUGUAAAGCACUUUCGGUUGGGAGGACUGCUUCUAGCACUAAUAUUGUUGGAAGUUGACGUUACCUUCAGAAGAAGCACCGGCUAACUCCGUGCCAGCAGCCGCGGUAAUACGGAGGGUGCAAGCGUAAUCGGAAUUACUGGGCGUAAAGCGCGCGUAGGCGGCUAGAUCAGUCGGGUGUGAAAGCCCCGGGCUUAACCUGGGAACUGCAUCCGAUACUGUCUAGCUUGAGUACAGGAGAGGAGAGUGGAAUUCCACAUGUAGCGGUGACAUGCGUAGAUAUGUGGAGGAACACCAAUGGCGAAGGCAGCUCUCUGGCCUGAUACUGACGCUGAGGUGCGAAAGCGUGGGGAGCAAACAGGAUUAGAUACCCCGGUAGUC
RNAcentral lists this ribosomal RNA (464 nucleotides) under uncultured bacterium. RNAcentral describes it as "partial 16S ribosomal RNA". It matches the Rfam family "Bacterial small subunit ribosomal RNA", at positions 339 to 795 of the family's 1533-position model. The record is from RNAcentral.